Lagopus muta (rock ptarmigan) is the source of this 3394-nucleotide long non-coding RNA. RefSeq lists it as uncharacterized. The transcript has 8 exons. Lineage: Eukaryota; Metazoa; Chordata; Aves; Galliformes; Phasianidae. The record is from RefSeq and is a predicted model, not a curated record.
CUGCCUCCUUGGAAGUAUUGGGAGUGAGUUCUGCCCUUUGGAAUGGGGUCUGUCAGCAGAAGGAGCAGCAACUGCACCUGGAGAUUGCUUCCUUUAGAGCGUGGGGUGAACCCUUGAAACUGGGACUGUGACCUUUCCUGUUUUUGGGGCAUCCUGACCACAUUGAAGUGCUGGCAGAUGUAAGGGCAGCAUUGAUCUCUGGAGACUGUCUCCUGUGGAGCAGGGGGACUUCACCUGACUGCCUCGACUUCUCAAAUACCACUGAGAGUGGCUCGGUGACUGCAGCGGUGAAUUCCCUCAGGGCUCUGGGACUCGUCUCAUCAGGACCCAAAGACUCCUGGAUGUCAGGUUCUCAGGUGGCUGCGGAGUUGCAGCGCUCCCGAGUGCCGUAACGACUGCAUGGAGAUGCGUGGCUCUUCAUGGGAACAGCAAGGAACCGGAAUCUGCAUUUCCUGGAAUGCCCCAGAGCCUCGCUUUGCUGGCUGGUAAUUGUCUGCCCAGCAGGUGGCAGCAGAGCUGCGUUGCUCCUGAGCACUUUAAGGACAGCACGGAGAUGCGCGGCUCUUCAUGGCAGCAGCAGAAACUGGAAUCUGCAUUUCCUGGAAUGCCCCGGAACCUCGCUUUGCUGGCCGGUAAUUGUCUGCCCAGCAGGUGAAGAUGCCUUCGAUGCUUCCAGUUGAUGGCUUCCCCCCUGCGAUGCCAUCGUCUUUCCAGUCCUCCCGCACUCACCGCCUGCUCGGUUCAGUCCAGCUGUUACCUGAAUCCCUGCUCCAUUCCCUUUCCUGAGUGCUGUAAGGACAGCAUGGAGAUGUGCGGCUCUUCAUGGCAGCAGCAGGAACCGGAAUCUGCAUUUCCUGGAACGCCCUGGAACCCCACUUUGCUGCCUGGUAAUUGUCUGCCCAGCAGGUGAAGAUGCCUUCGAUGCUUCCAGUCGAUGACUUCCCCCCUGCGAUGCCAUUGGCUUUCCUGGCCUCCCACAGUCACCGCCAGCUCAGUUCAGUUGAGCUGUUACCCGAAUCCCCACUCCGUUCCCUUUCCAUGAUUUCCAUGAUCUUCCUGUCACUCUGCCACAAGCCCCCACCAAGGUCAUCGCAGGCAACGUGUGGGAUGCAGCACUCGGUCUCAUUACAGUUCAUCCCAUCAGCUUCAGCCCAGCGAUCCAACCCACCCGCACCCUUCCUGAGGGCCCUUCUGCUCCCACGCCAAUCAACGCUUCCUUCUGAUGCCAUCUGCAUUCCUUCCUGGCCACUUUCAGACUCGUGCCCCUUUGUGGCCAUUUUGAGAGUUGCGCUGAUUUCAGCGUCUGCAUUCAAUUGACUUCAACCAAAUUGGCUUUAGCUUUACAUUCAAUUAAUGUAAACCAAAUUGGCUUUAGUUUUACAUUCACUUAAUGUAAACCAAAUUGGCAUUAGUUUUACACUCAAUUAUUGUAAACCAAAUUGGCUUUAGUUUUACAUCCAAAUUAUGUAAACCAAAUUGGCUUUAAGUUUGCCUUGCUUACGGGGUUGGGUUAGCUUUGCUUUGUUUGUUCUAGCGCAGGGCUAACCCAACCCCGUAACCAAGGGCCGGCGGAGGCGAUUUUGUUCCUUCCCGGCCAGUCUGAGACUCGUGCCCCCUUGUGGCCAUUUGAUGAUCUGUGCUGAUUUCAGCGUCUGCAUUCAAUUAAUCUCAACCAAAUUGGCUUUAGCCUUGCAGUCAUUUUGCAUCAACCAAAUUGGCUUUAGUUUUACAUUCACUUGACUUCAAUCAAAUUGGCUUUAGCUUUACACUCAAUUAUUGUAAACCAAAUUGGCUUUAGUUUUACAUCCAAAUUAUGUAAACCAAAUUGGCUUUAAGUUUGCCUUGCUUACGGGGUUGGGUUAGCUUUGCUUUGUUUGUUCUAGCGCAGGGCUAACCCAACCCCGUAACCAAGGGCCGGCGGAGGCGAUUUUGUUCCUUCCCGGCCAGUCUGAGACUCGUGCCCCCUUGUGGCCAUUUGAUGAUCUGUGCUGAUUUCAGCGUCUGCAUUCAAUUAAUCUCAACCAAAUUGGCUUUAGCCUUGCAGUCAUUUUGCAUCAACCAAAUUGGCUUUGGUUUUGCAUUCAACUUAUUUCAACCAAAUUGGCUUUAGUUUUACAUUCACUUGACUUCAAUCAAAUUGGCUUUAGCUUUACACUCAAUUAUUGUAAACCAAAUUGGCUUUAGUUUUACAUCCAAAUUAUGUAAACCAAAUUGGCUUUAAGUUUGCCUUGCUUACGGGGUUGGGUUAGCUUUGCUUUGUUUGUUCUAGCGCAGGGCUAACCCAACCCCGUAACCAAGGGCCGGCGGAGGCGAUUUUGUUCCUUCCCGGCCAGUCUGAGACUCGUGCCCCCUUGUGGCCAUUUGAUGAUCUGUGCUGAUUUCAGCGUCUGCAUUCAAUUAAUCUCAUCCAAAUUGUCUUUAGCCUUGCAGUCAUUUUGCAUCAACCAAAUUGGCUUUAGUUUUACAUUCACUUGACUUCAAUCAAAUUGGCUUUAGCUUUACACUCAAUUAUUGUAAACCAAAUUGGCUUUAGUUUUACAUCCAAAUUAUGUAAACCAAAUUGGCUUUAAGUUUGCCUUGCUUACGGGGUUGGGUUAGCUUUGCUUUGUUUGUUCUAGCGCAGGGCUAACCCAACCCCGUAACCAAGGGCCAGUGGAGGCGAUUUUGUUCCUCCCGGCCAGUCUGAGACUCGCGCCCCCUUGUGGCCAUUUGAAGAGUUGCGCUGAUUUCAGCGUCUGCAUUCAAUUAAUCUCAACCAAAUUGGCUUUAGCCUUGCAGUCAUUUUGCAUCAACCAAAUUGGCUUUGGCUUUGCAUUCAAACUAUUUCAACCAAAUUGGCUUUAGUUUUACAUCCAAUUAACGUAAACCAAAUUGGCUUUAGCUUUGCCUUGCUUACGGGGUUGGGUUAGCUUUGCUUUGUUUGUUCUAGCGCAGGGCUAACCCAACCCCGUAACCAAGGGCCGGUGGAGGCGAUUUUGUUCCUCCCGGCCAGUCUGAGACUUGCGCCCCUUUGUGGCUGUUCUGAGAAUUGCAAUGUCUUUGGAUGGGCUGAGAUCUGCACUGCUUUUGAGGUGGGUUCUCACAAAUGUGGUGUCACUAAUGGGGUAUGGUGUGUUUGUACUCUUUCUCUGGUUGGUCUGAUGUCUAUGUGAACCAUGUGUUACAGCUGUACUGCAUAUGUGUGUGCUGCGCCUGUAAAUUGCGUUGUGCCAUGUACACAAUAUGUGUUAUGUUGCGCCUGUAAACUGUGUUGUGCCAUGUACAGAAUGUGUGGAUGCUGUGCCUAUAAACUAAGUUGGGGAAUCACAGACCCCUAUUCAUUACAUGUUCUGCUUCUCAAUGCAUAGUUGCUGGUAUAGCGUGUAUAUAUAUGAUUGUAUGAGUCCUGCCUUGU